GUAUACAUGAGCACGUAGAUCUUCCAGACCAUUAUAUCGCUCACAAAUUGACCUUGCUUGUGAGGUAGCGUGUCUGGAUGAGGAAGUAGAGUAUAUCAGUAUAUCAGGAGACCGCAAGCACCUGCUCUGCUAGCAGAAAUCUCUCUUGUAUACUUUAUACAAAAGGCUUGGCCCUACUUUUCACCUGAUUCUCACUUAGAGAAUUUCUGUCCUGGUAUCACUUAAAAAUGGUUGUCUGCAUCAUACGUCCCCGUGUGUCAGAGCACUGAGGGCACUGACGGGCAGUAACAGGCACUGUUGGCCCUGACCAGCUUCACCUGGGGCCUCCACUCAUGCCCUGCCCAUGGCUGGAGGCUGUAUUUAAGCUCAGCUCAGGAAUCUUUCAAGUUAUUUGUUACUGAAGCUUCUAAGGGUCUCUCUAAAGACCUCUUCAAAGAUGUCUUUUUAUAUAAGGUCACCAUUUUACUUUAGGAUAGUCUUGAAUAGUAGUGACUUUUCCCAAUAAUGGUGGCUUCUGGAGGACGGACUUGAGGACCUUUGGAUUUGAUGCUGGUAUCUGCCACUGAUUUUUCUGUGUGGAGGACAGAGGCCCUGGAAUUGUUCAGCCAGUCCCUUAUCAUGGUACGGAAAGCAGAGGGAGGUCUGUGGGCUUUGAGCUGUCCUGAUUCAUCCCGAGGAAAACCUGACGCAGAAGAGUCCUCUUACAGAAAACUGCUGCCACAAGUGGGGAGCCUAGCAAUAACAGAAGCUUCUAAAACUCAAUUCUGAUAAGAUCACUUGCAGGAAAACUUACUUUUAUUGGCUUCAGUGCAAGAUUCACGUUAAAACCUUCUAAUCUGAAGUUUAGAAAUCAAUAUGUAUUUUGGAAGAAAUAAUACAGCCUUCCUUAGAGACAACCGUAUCUAUACAUUGAUGUUGAUACUCCUACUAUUUCAUGCUUACACCAGAAUGCUGCAAUGUUUUCUACUAUACUCUAAGGAGACUUACACUGUGUUUACUGUACUUAUAAUUCUUUUGUUCUGGACUGUACUUCUAAAAUUUUGUUCUAGAUUAGCUGGUUCCUACAGCCUCGAUAUUAUGUGUUGUCAAUUGGCAAUGAGAUGCAUUUCCUGGACAGUAGCAGUUCUAGCUGAUAAGUAAUAUAGGCUGUAUUUGCAAGAUGUCCUAAACCACUACUGUCUGAACCCACAUCAAAAUCUUUAUUUUAGACUGUUUGGUUAGUUGCAAGAUGUAAUACACUAAGUUUAUGAUGUUACUUUCUUAGGUCCUUGUGCUAGUGCUUGCUCUUCAGUAUGGGGUUUCAGUGAUGCGGGUCAGUAAAAUCAUCAGUGUUUCAUUGGGACGGAGUACUCGUGAGGUCCCAUGCAGAAAACGUUCAGCUACAGACACAUUGAAAUCUAAGGCUGUAGUUAACAGUGCACUGCAUGUUCAGCCAUGGAGGCCACUCAUUCCCUGCAAUUUUCAGCUAGGAAAAAACAAAGUAUUUCAAAGCAUGUCCAAUGCAGUUAGUAUGUCUAAGGCAUAAUAUCGAUCCAAGAGGACUGCAGAGGACUUCACAAGCUGAUGUACUUACUAUACGGAAGAUAGUAUAUCAGAAUAGGAACUCUUUAAGUAGAAAUGAAAAUGUCCUAUAUGAUUAGCACAUGGAGAAGAUAUCUUUCCUUCUGAAGAGAUCUGAAGCAGGAUUAAAAAGUACCGGAGUUUCACUAUUACAGCCACUUUAAUUCGUAGUGACAUUCUUAUCUAACAAAUGAUGAUAGUUGGAAUAAUUUGAUAGAUUUACAUUGGUAUGAAUAAUUCCUGUACUCAGAAAGUUUUCUUGGGAUAUAGUGCUUUCACUUAAGCACACUCGGCCACUGUAAUUGUGUUGUAAUAAUUAAAGUAGCAAAACUGAAGUUAAAUACUUGAGCAUUUAAAGCUAAUUGGAAAUUUCCUUCUGAUUCUAUUGGAAACAAUUUUACUUUCUUAAUCACUUGACCUGAAUUUUCCUAUUGGAAGUCCUGGCAGCUGCAGUUAAUUGCAGCCCUUGGGUUGGUACACACUGGGAGUCUCACACAGGCUUCAGAAGCAGAAACUGGUAAGAAUUGCUGGGUUUUGACUUGUAUUGGUGCAGAGAAGUAGAUGGUAUUUCUGGGUAUUAUUGGUGUACAAAUAAGAACCUUUUCUGAAAUUAAAUGCUUUGCCUGACUUGUAGAGUUCUUAACACCAGGUUUUGGGCAAAAGGCAUACUUACUGAUGGAAAAAGAAAUGUUGGAGUGACUUGACAGUGGGAGGUUCUGUUUCAUGAGGUUGGUUGUGUAUUUUUGUUGUUGUUGUGAUAAAGAAAAGGCAAAGAAAAAAAAA
Anas platyrhynchos (mallard) is the source of this 2343-nucleotide long non-coding RNA. RefSeq lists it as uncharacterized. Lineage: Eukaryota; Metazoa; Chordata; Aves; Anseriformes; Anatidae. The record is from RefSeq and is a predicted model, not a curated record.